CUCAGGGUCAGGAAGGAGCCCAGCCUCUCCAGGAGCCAGAUGGGCCCGCAGCAGGGUGGGUUGGGGGGAUGUGGAUUGCUUGAGCCUAAGGAGGGGAAGAGGAGAAGGCACUGCAGAGAGGGGUCUCACGCUGUCUUGCAGCUCUCCCAGGGCUGAUGUUGAGUUCAGAUCAGCUGGAUCUGGUCUACAGCACGCUGGGGCUCUGCCUGUGCACCGUCCUUUGCCGCUUCCUGGUGACAGUGGCCUGCUUCCUCAAGAAGAGGGGGGAUCCCCGCUCCUGCCAGUCCCACUCAAGUCCCUGUCAAAGUCUGGCCAAGUCUUCCCAUGAUCACGAGAUGAAAGCCAGCAGCCCUGGGGCACGUCUCCUGAGCCAGGGGAGACCUGCAGCUUCUGCUUCCCUGAGCACAGCACGCCCACCCAGGAGAGCGCGGUCAUACCUGGGACCCUCAACCCUGUGGGUGAUGGAAGGUGGAGGCAUCCUGUGAGGGUGCCCUGAUAGAUGGCAGCCUUGGCAUUGUGUGCGGACACACCCAAGAGAGGGUCCUAAGUGCUGGAACAGGGGCAAGGAGGAAGAGGAGGAGGGAAAGAGAUGGAGAGAGAGAGAGGAAAAAAAGAGAGAUGAAGAGAAAGACAGAGGAGGCAGAGAGGAAGAGAGAGACAGAGCAGGAGGUCGUGGCACUCUGGGUCCCAGUUCCCAGUGCAGCUGUAGGUUGCCAUCACCUAACCACAUGUGCAAUAAAGUCCUCGUGCCUCCUGCUCACAGCCCCCGAGAGCCCCUCCUCCUGGAGAAUAAAACCUUAGGCGGCUGCCCUUCC
RNAcentral lists this long non-coding RNA (815 nucleotides) under Macaca nemestrina (pig-tailed macaque). RNAcentral's name for it is "lncRNA (ENSMNEG00000045837.1)". Lineage: Eukaryota; Metazoa; Chordata; Mammalia; Primates; Cercopithecidae. The record is from RNAcentral.